This 271-nucleotide long non-coding RNA is filed under the name Physcomitrium patens. RNAcentral's name for it is "long non-coding RNA (PPAT_LNC005696)". The record is from RNAcentral. Lineage: Eukaryota; Viridiplantae; Streptophyta; Bryopsida; Funariales; Funariaceae.
AUUUGGUUUAAGGUUUGAUUAAGACUAGAAUUUGCUUAGGAUUUGGUUUAGAACUUAUUUGAUGUUUGUUUAGGAUUUAGGAUUUUAUUGGGAUUUCAUUAAGAUUUAACCUAGGAUUUGAUUAAGAUUCAAUUAGGAUUUUAAUUAAAAUUAAAUUAUGAUUUUUAUCUUUAAUAUUUCUUGAGGAUUAUUUUUGUUUAUUUUGUAAAUUCUUUUAAAUUUAUUUCAAUAAAUUAAAGUUUGAUUGAGUUAUUAUGAAUUACUUAAAGUU